GGUGAAGCAGGGAUUUGGGAGUGUUCAAGUGAAGAAGAGGAAGAGAUUUGUGUGUUUUGAGGUAAAUUGGAUACGUUUGGUGUUUGUGUCUGUGUUAAGGUUGUCGUGUUAGUGUUCAAUAAGGUUGCUGCUUGUGACGAUGGGUCUAUUACUGUAUUCUGAGAAGGGAGAGGUUUAGGCGAAGCGGCUGCAUUUUCUGCCAUGGAUUGGAAAAAGAUUAUGG
Molecule: long non-coding RNA, 223 nt
Filed under: Populus trichocarpa (black cottonwood)
Lineage: Eukaryota; Viridiplantae; Streptophyta; Magnoliopsida; Malpighiales; Salicaceae
Description: long non-coding RNA (PTRI_LNC000165)
Source: RNAcentral